GACGAACGCUGGCGGCGUGCUUAACACAUGCAAGUCGAACGGUAAGGCCCUUCGGGGUACACGAGUGGCGAACGGGUGAGUAACACGUGGGUGAUCUGCCCUGCACUUCGGGAUAAGCCUGGGAAACUGGGUCUAAUACCGGAUAGGACACCUGCCUGCAUGGGUGGAGGUGGAAAGCUUUUGCGGUGUGGGAUGGGCCCGCGGCCUAUCAGCUUGUUGGUGGGGUGAUGGCCUACCAAGGCGACGACGGGUAGCCGGCCUGAGAGGGUGACCGGCCACACUGGGACUGAGAUACGGCCCAGACUCCUACGGGAGGCAGCAGUGGGGAAUAUUGCACAAUGGGCGCAAGCCUGAUGCAGCGACGCCGCGUGAGGGAUGACGGCCUUCGGGUUGUAAACCUCUUUCAGCACCGACGAAGCGCAAGUGACGGUAGGUGCAGAAGAAGGACCGGCCAACUACGUGCCAGCCGCCGCCGUAA
This 478-nucleotide ribosomal RNA is filed under the name uncultured bacterium. Its description in RNAcentral is "partial 16S ribosomal RNA". It matches the Rfam family "Bacterial small subunit ribosomal RNA", at positions 28 to 523 of the family's 1533-position model. The record is from RNAcentral.